AAUGAGCUCUGGAAAAGCACUACAGUCAGUGUCUCCUCACAACAAUCAACCGCCGCCGACACCAAGCCUGGCGAAAAGAAAGAAGAUUCAAGAGAAGUAUGCAAUAAGGAGUCCAACAGACAGUGUGAUGUCCCCAUGUACAAGACAGCUCAUGAAGAAAGCUAUCAAGGACAUACCGUCAUCUCCCAGACGGGAAGCGAAAGAGAACACUGCAAAUAAAUGAAUGACCUUUUUAUGUACAGUGAUGUGUUUGCGGUAUUCCUCUCUCUGCUCAGAUGGUCAGAUAAAUCAAUCAUUGACACUUUCCUGACAUUAUACCGUCUUUUUAAGAUGUUCCUACUAACCAAGCUGCUCACACUUUAUUGAUCCAUUAUGCAAUAUGGUGUAUAUGGGGGUUGGGGUUAUAUUCUUCAUUUAUA
Molecule: long non-coding RNA, 419 nt
Organism: Oncorhynchus masou masou (cherry salmon)
Lineage: Eukaryota; Metazoa; Chordata; Actinopteri; Salmoniformes; Salmonidae
Exons: 3
Source: RefSeq, a predicted model, not a curated record